This 478-nucleotide ribosomal RNA is filed under the name uncultured bacterium. Its description in RNAcentral is "partial 16S ribosomal RNA". It matches the Rfam family "Bacterial small subunit ribosomal RNA", at positions 28 to 523 of the family's 1533-position model. The record is from RNAcentral.
GACGAACGCUGGCGGCGUGCUUAACACAUGCAAGUCGAACGGUAAGGCCCUUCGGGGUACACGAGUGGCGAACGGGUGAGUAACACGUGGGUGAUCUGCCCUGCACUUCGGGAUAAGCCUGGGAAACUGGGUCUAAUACCGGAUAGGACUCCGGACUGCAUGGUCUGGGGUGGAAAGCUUUUGCGGUGUGGGAUGGGCCCGCGGCCUAUCAGCUUGUUGGUGGGGUGAUGGCCUACCAAGGCGACGACGGGUAGCUGGCCUGAGAGGGUGACCGGCCACACUGGGACUGAGAUACGGCCCAGACUCCUACGGGAGGCAGCAGUGGGGAAUAUUGCACAAUGGGCGCAAGUCUGAUGCAGCGACGCCGCGUGAGGGAUGACGGCCUUCGGGUUGUAAACCUCUUUCAGCAUCGACGAAGCGAAAGUGACGGUAGGUGCAGAAGAAGGACCGGCCAACUACGUGCCAGCCGCCGCGGUAA